Myotis lucifugus (little brown bat) is the source of this 2633-nucleotide RNA transcript. RefSeq lists it as uncharacterized. The transcript has 2 exons. The record is from RefSeq and is a predicted model, not a curated record. Lineage: Eukaryota; Metazoa; Chordata; Mammalia; Chiroptera; Vespertilionidae.
GUGGGGGCGGGGCUCCUUGCCUUGUGGGCGGGGUCCGGGCUGCCCAGUCCGCAGGUUGCGUUCCUCUGCGCGGCUCCACUCUUCCGGCCCCGCGCGACGCCCGCCCCCUCCACCUUCCGCCCGGCGCGGGCUACGGCGUGACGGUCGCGGCGUUUCAGGGUCUCCUAGGCUCUGCGGCGCCCGAGCCCGCCAUGUCGGGCCCCAAUAUGGGAAUGCCGGUGGUACCGAGCACGGAAGACGAGGAUGACAGCUUCGGGGAAGCAGGUGACGCGGGGGGACUGCUGAGCGACCGUUGCUCCAGGUUCCGGGCCCUGGAGCGGGCCGGGCGGCUUCCCCCGCUUUACUUCGCGAGGUCCCACCGUUUCAGCUUCCACCAGGGCCCCCGGUCCGCACGAGGCCGCCGCGUCCCAUCAUCGCGCGGUCCUGGAAGAGCCUGAGCCCGCCACGUCGGGCCCCCUCGGGGACCUGGGCUUGCCGGUGGAGGCGGACUCAGGAAGCCGGUGACUCAGGGGGGCUGCAGGAACGACCUGUCGCUUUCUCGGGGCACCUUCCUGGGAAGAGGAGUCGGGCCGGGAUAUGGGUUUGUGAGGGACCGCGGAGCCCUCCCACCCCUCGCUCCUGGGUGGGUUGUGGCUGCAGACCCCCGUCUCGGUGAGCACUUCCGAGUGGGUCUCCGGAAGCCUCACACCGAGAACUGUUUACAGAAGCGGGAACGCGCGCCGCGUGCACACCCGCCACCUGGCUCAGCGCCGGGGGACCACACCCCGCAGCCGGGCGGUCCGGGUCACCACCAGCAGUGAUCAGUCCCGUGGCUAGCGUCUUCCCCUGAUGUGAUGUGGAACAAAUGGCACUCGACCUCUGUAGUUUUCCUCCUAAAACUCAUAACCCCAGUCUAAUCCUGAGAAGAACGCCUGACAAGUCCCAAUAGGGAGAGAUUCUACAAAAUACAUGAGCAGUGCCCCUCAACGCUGUCAAGGUCAUCAAGACCAAGGAAAGGCUGCCGCUGGUGUGGCUCAGUGUUUGAGCAUCGACCUAUGAACCAGGAGGUCAGGGUUCAGUUCUCGGCCAGGGCACAUGCGGGGGUUGAGGGCUCAGUUCCCAGAAGGGUGUGUGCAGGAGGAAGCCAAUCAAUGAUUCUCAUCACUGAUGUUUCUUUUCUCUUCUCUGAAAUCAAUAAAUAUAUAUAUAUAUAUAUUUAAAGUGUGUAUUCUUAUAUGUAAUUGUCUGGUCAUAAAAAAAAAAAGCAACAUGGUAUCCUGGAUGGGAUCCUGAAACAGGAAAAGGACAUUAUGUACAAAUUCCCAAAGAAAUCUGAAUGAAGUAUGGACUUUAGUUAAUAAUGUAUCAAAAGUGGUUCAUUAAUUGUAAAUGUCACACUAAUACAAGAUGUUAAAAAUAAGGGAAACCAUGCAGGAUAUAUGGGAGCUCUGCAAACUAUUUUCACAAUUUUUCUAUAAAUCUGAAACAAAAUUAAGAGUUUAUUUUUAAAAACUUGCCUAAUUGUGGUCUUCGAAUAUAUUGCAUGGCUGGUGUUCUCUUUGUGGGAAGAUUUGUUAAUAACUUGUCAACUCUGUGGAUGUUUUAGGGCCUCUCUUUCUUUUACUUCAUGAAUCCACAAGUUUGAGUAUUUCCCAUUUCAUUACCUAUAACAGUGUCUUACCCUUUAAUGUCUGUAAAACCUAGUUAUAGAUUUUAAAAUUUCUACUUCUGUUUAUUUGUGUCUUAUACCUUUCUGUGUUGAGAAUAAUUUUUUCCCCAGAUUUCUACUUAUGUUCUUAGUCUUUUUCAGGAGUCGACUUUUGGCUUUGAUAUUCCUAAUGUAUCUUUGUAUUUUAUUAAUUUCCACUCUUCAUUUACUUCUGCCUUCUAUUUUCUUUGGGUUUAUUCUGUAGUUUCUUUUCUAAAUAUUUUACUUUGGACACUUUACUCAUGACCUUUUCUUAUUAUAAAACACACACUAGUCACCCGCUGCCCGGGCACCCCUUGCCCAGCCCUCAGGCACGUCAGAGGGUAUUGUUCCCCAACCACCCGUGGCUGAACGCUGCUCACACGUUUCCGGGGACCAGUCCAGGGCGUUAGACUGGAUUCCUGACAUGCAGUCAGCACAGGGAACACUCGCUGCCUCCCGGAAGGGAUUGGACUCGGCCCGGGGCCUGGGCCCUGCGGUUGGGAGAACAGGCCACUGUGUCCGUGGGAGCCUCGAAUCCCGGGCCUGUGGAGAGGGGGCCCCUGCCUUCCAAAGGCAGAAGCAAGAAGCACCCUCGGCCGGUCCCCUGCCCUCCAGUCCAACCAGCCCAGCACUGAGUCUGCCCCGGUGACGGCCAUGACUGUCCUGGGACCCCUGUUGUUUUCCAAAUUGGUCCCCGUACAUGGAGGGCAAGGAGAGAGCAAGGAAAGAGGCCACUCCAGGUGGGCAGGUGCAGGUUAGGCAGCAAGGGAACGUACCAGGCUGGUCUUGGGCGCGGGAAGACAAGUAGAGCUCCACAGUCACCGCCAGAAUCUUAUUUAUAGAGAGGCCUUCACGGGGCUCAGGCACAUACGCCAUCAAAGGGUCAGUAACACAGGGCGCUCAAGGCUGCACUGACGGGGUGAGGGGUGGGCAGGGAUCACAGGGGGUGAGGGGUGGGCAGAGA